This 1392-nucleotide long non-coding RNA is filed under the name Carassius auratus (goldfish). RNAcentral's name for it is "lncRNA (ENSCARG00000048974.1)". Lineage: Eukaryota; Metazoa; Chordata; Actinopteri; Cypriniformes; Cyprinidae. The record is from RNAcentral.
AAUUUUAAUAAUUUUAAAUGAAAUUACACAUGACAAAACUGUAUAAAAAUGUGUUACCUUGGAACUUGUAUUGAGCCUAAAAAAAGUGUUCUUUUUUUUCUCACUUUAGACAACUGUGGCAAAACUUUAUUUUUCACCGGUCAAGAAGACCAUUUGGUGCCAUCAACCUCCCGAACUCUGCUGGAUAGUGACCUGUUCCGCAUUGUUGGACGCAUGAUUGGCCAUUCUUUCAUUAAUGGUGGUCCCUUAUUGACUGGACUUAGCCCUGCUAUGUUUGGAAUAAUAACUGGACAAAUGAAUGAGACAGUCAUAAUUCAACUGGAAGAUUGCCCUGACACCAAUGUAAUUGACAUUGUCCAUCUGGUAUGUACAACAUAAAACCUACCUCUGAUCAUUGUUUUGUGCAAAUAAAAAUUACUGUGAAAAUGAGAAUAUUUGAACUAGAUUAGUAUAUUUUUUGCUAACAUUGAUUUUAUUACAGCUUCAAAGAUCAAAUACACUUUCUGAUGAUGAGCGUGCAAAAGUGAAUGACCUGGCUGUCAUUUGGGAUCUGCCUCGGGUCACUGUGGAAAACAGACUGUGGCUAGCCCAAAGCCUUCUUCACCAUGCGGUCAUUGGCCGGCGGGAGAAACAGAUGCAGCAGUUGAAAAAAAGACUGUAGGAUACUGGAGUUUUGCGCAUGGUUAAAGAACGACCUUCUCUUAUUGAAGUCCUAUUUCCACGAUCAUCUUCCCUGACAAUUGAUGCACAGAUGAUCCUGGAAAAAGUAAUAUGGCCAAACCCUGACAGUGAUGAUGAGGAGAACUUCAAUCUGGAAACAUGCUGCAGAAUCACAUCCUAUUUACGGCAAUACGUUGAACAAGGUACACCACAAGAGCUGAAAAAUCUUGUUGAGUUUUGGGUUGGAUGGACAAGCCUACCACAGGAACUGUACGUGGAAGUGUCUCCUGACGUCAGAAUGCCAACUGCCUCAACAUGCAGGGAGACCCUUAAAAUCCCACUGCAUUACAGUGAUUAUGAAGAAUUCUGCGCUGAUCUAAAUGCAGCUGUGUCCAGCAACAGCUUUGUUUUGGUUUAGUCUAAAAUGAAUAUUUCGUAAACCCUCAUGUUGUCUUAGGGUUCUGUUUGGAAUUUUGAGACUUUUGUUACAUUAUUUGUCUAAACGCAUAAUAAACCUGGGUUUGAUUUAAUUGUUCUGAAGGUAUGUAUAAUUUUGUUCUUGUCCAUUUCACAUUGGUUUCAUUUUUCAAUAAAAUGAUUAAAUCCCACAUAAAUCUAAAAAAACUGACAAUGAAAGCCUGAUACUACACCACAAAUGUAAAGUGUAACAAACAUUCUUACACACCUACUGGUUUAACUGCAACAGGCAGCAUUUUUAUUUAAUUUUGCAAA